UACAGGAUAAAUUUACUGCCGUUGGAGU
This 28-nucleotide small RNA is filed under the name Bombyx mori (domestic silkworm). Its description in RNAcentral is "piRNA piR-bmo-2116185". The record is from RNAcentral. Lineage: Eukaryota; Metazoa; Arthropoda; Insecta; Lepidoptera; Bombycidae.